RNAcentral lists this transfer RNA (108 nucleotides) under Candidatus Bathyarchaeota archaeon. Its description in RNAcentral is "tRNA-Pro". It matches the Rfam family "tRNA". Rfam says of the family: Transfer RNA (tRNA) molecules are approximately 80 nucleotides in length. Lineage: Archaea; Thermoproteati; Candidatus Bathyarchaeota. The record is from RNAcentral.
AGAGAGGUGGUCUAGCAUGGUACCGUGCCGGGUGCUGGCUGCCCGGCAUGCCGGAUUGAUAUUCGGUUUGGGACCGAAUGGCCGUGGGUUCGAAUCCCACCCUCUCUA